Molecule: ribosomal RNA, 497 nt
Filed under: uncultured bacterium
Lineage: Bacteria
Description: partial 16S ribosomal RNA
Rfam family: Bacterial small subunit ribosomal RNA
Source: RNAcentral
GAUGAACGCUGGCGGCGUGCCUAAUACAUGCAAGUCGAGCGAACGGACGAGAAGCUUGCUUCUCUGAUGUUAGCGGCGGACGGGUGAGUAACACGUGGAUAACCUACCUAUAAGACUGGGAUAACUUCGGGAAACCGGAGCUAAUACCGGAUAAUAUUUUGAACCGCAUGGUUCAACAGUGAAAGACGGUCUUGCUGUCACUUAUAGAUGGAUCCGCGCUGCAUUAGCUAGUUGGUAAGGUAACGGCUUACCAAGGCAACGAUGCAUAGCCGACCUGAGAGGGUGAUCGGCCACACUGGAACUGAGACACGGUCCAGACUCCUACGGGAGGCAGCAGUAGGGAAUCUUCCGCAAUGGGCGAAAGCCUGACGGAGCAACGCCGCGUGAGUGAUGAAGGUCUUCGGAUCGUAAAACUCUGUUAUUAGGGAAGAAGAUAUGUGUAAGUAACUGUGCACAUCUUGACGGUACCUAAUCAGAAAGCCACGGCUAACUACGUG